This 211-nucleotide ribosomal RNA is filed under the name uncultured bacterium. Its description in RNAcentral is "partial 16S ribosomal RNA". It matches the Rfam family "Bacterial small subunit ribosomal RNA", at positions 524 to 734 of the family's 1533-position model. The record is from RNAcentral.
UACGAAGGGAGCUAGCGUUGUUCGGAAUCACUGGGCGUAAAGCGCACGUAGGCGGAUGUGUCAGUCAGGGGUGAAAUCCCGGGGCUCAACCUCGGAACUGCCUUUGAUACAGCACGUCUCGAGUCCGGAAGAGGUGGGUGGAAUUCCUAGUGUAGAGGUGAAAUUCGUAGAUAUUAGGAAGAACACCGGUGGCGAAGGCGGCCCACUGGUC